RNAcentral lists this ribosomal RNA (462 nucleotides) under uncultured bacterium. RNAcentral describes it as "partial 16S ribosomal RNA". It matches the Rfam family "Bacterial small subunit ribosomal RNA", at positions 338 to 795 of the family's 1533-position model. The record is from RNAcentral.
CCUACGGGGGGCAGCAGUGAGGAAUAUUGGUCAAUGGACGCAAGUCUGAACCAGCCAAGUAGCGUGCAGGAUGACGGCCCUCCGGGUUGUAAACUGCUUUUAGUUGGGAAUAAAAGGGGGCUCGUGAGCUCCGCAUUGUAUGUACCAUCAGAAAAAGGACCGGCUAAUUCCGUGCCAGCAGCCGCGGUAAGACGGAAGGUCCGGGCGUUAUCCGGAUUUAUUGGGUUUAAAGGGAGCGUAGGCCGGCUUUUAAGUCAGAUGUGAAAGGCCGGGGCUUAACCGGGGAAUUGCAGUUGACACUGGUGGCCGUGAGAGGACACGGGGAAGCCGGAAUGUAUGGUGUAGCGGUGAAAUGCUUAGAGAUCAUGAAGAACUCCGAUCGCGAAGGCAAGUGUCCGGGGUGCAACUGACGCUGAGGCUCGAAAGUGCGGGUAUCAAACAGGAUUAGAUACCCGGGUAGUC